RNAcentral lists this ribosomal RNA (253 nucleotides) under uncultured bacterium. RNAcentral describes it as "partial 16S ribosomal RNA". It matches the Rfam family "Bacterial small subunit ribosomal RNA", at positions 524 to 776 of the family's 1533-position model. The record is from RNAcentral.
UACGAAGGGGGCUAGCGUUGUUCGGAAUCACUGGGCGUAAAGCGCACGUAGGCGGCUUGUUAAGUCGGGGGUGAAAUCCUGAGGCUCAACCUCAGAACUGCCUUCGAUACUGGCAAUCUCGAGUCCGGAAGAGGUUGGUGGAACAGCUAGUGUAGAGGUGAAAUUCGUAGAUAUUAGCUAGAACACCAGUGGCGAAGGCGGCCAACUGGUCCGGUACUGACGCUGAGGUGCGAAAGCGUGGGGAGCAAACAGG